GAUGAACGCUGGCGGCGUGCCUAACACAUGCAAGUCGAGCGAACAGAUGAGGAGUUUGCUCCUCUGACGUUAGCGGCGGACGGGUGAGUAACAUGUGGAUAACCUACCUAUAAGACUGGGAUAACUUCGGGAAACCGGAGCUAAUACCGGAUAAUAUAUUGAACCGCAGGGUUCAAUAGUGAAAUACGGCUUUGCUGUCACUUAUAGAUGGAUCCGCGCCGCAUUAGCUAGUUGGUAAGGUAACGGCUUACCAAGGCAACGAUGCGUAGCCGACCUGAGAGGGUGAUCGGCCACACUGGAACUGAGACACGGUCCAGACUCCUACGGGAGGCAGCAGUAGGGAAUCUUGCGCAAUGGGCGAAAGCCUGACGGAGCAACGCCGCGUGAGUGAUGAAGGUCUUCGGGUCGUAAAGCUCUGUUAUUAGGGAAGAACAAAUGUGUAAGUAUCUAGGCGCGUCUUGACGGUACCUGAUCAGAAAGCCACGGCUAACUACGUG
This 497-nucleotide ribosomal RNA is filed under the name uncultured bacterium. RNAcentral describes it as "partial 16S ribosomal RNA". It matches the Rfam family "Bacterial small subunit ribosomal RNA", at positions 28 to 507 of the family's 1533-position model. The record is from RNAcentral.